UUCCUGGUAGUCCAGAGGCUAGGACUCUGUGCUUUCACUGCUGAGAUGCAGGUUCAAUCCCUGAUUGGGGAA
This 72-nucleotide transfer RNA is filed under the name Bos taurus (domestic cattle). It matches the Rfam family "tRNA". Rfam says of the family: Transfer RNA (tRNA) molecules are approximately 80 nucleotides in length. Their secondary structure includes four short double-helical elements and three loops (D, anti-codon, and T loops). Further hydrogen bonds mediate the characteristic L-shaped molecular structure. tRNAs have two regions of fundamental functional importance: the anti-codon, which is responsible for specific mRNA codon recognition, and the 3' end, to which the tRNAs corresponding amino acid is attached (by aminoacyl-tRNA synthetases). tRNAs cope with the degeneracy of the genetic code in two manners: having more than one tRNA (with a specific anti-codon) for a particular amino acid; and 'wobble' base-pairing, i.e. permitting non-standard base-pairing at the 3rd anti-codon position. Lineage: Eukaryota; Metazoa; Chordata; Mammalia; Artiodactyla; Bovidae. RNAcentral also lists the same sequence under 4 other names. The record is from Rfam by way of RNAcentral.